AGGGAGGAGGGAAAUGAGGGUCUAGCUUUUUUGUUCUAGGCUUACUGGGCAAAGAAAAAAAAGUAACAAGACUGGGUGACUAUGAAUAUUUAAACCAGAGUCCCAUGAGGGCUCUGUAUGUGCACGAGGUGAUCCUGGUGAAAUUUUGGCAGCAUAUGUGCCUCUGUGAUAGAAGUUUGAAGCUGUCUUGUGAUGCAGGGCUCUUGUGAUUCAGAUAGAGCCAAUUACAGAUGGUUCUCAACAGCCCAAUGCAGGGCACAACCAAUCCUCUGAGCAGGGCUGUUCUUAGAUUAACAAACACCACACUUGCCUCUGUAUUGACUCCUGAGGUCAGUAUACAGAACAUCAUCUCUACUAAGCAGAGCUGAACACAAAAAUAACAUACUCUGAUCACCAGUUCAUUGGAAGAACAAUCAGGAGGAAUAGAGGUUUUCCUCUAUGCAUCUGAAAAAGAGAAGAAGCGAACGUGCUGCAAGGGAAAACAGGCCUCUUGGUCAAGGAGCAGUAUACCAGAGAGACAAAAGAAAAGUACUGAAGUGGAACAUCACUUGGCUCUGGAAAGUGCGGACUAAUUCUACUGCUAAUGAGAUGACUGUACAAAUGUUUCAGAAUCCACUAUCCAAAAAAAGUACAGUAGGAAGCAAUACUAUAAGCCACAUUGUUGCAUUUCUCCAUCAUAAAGGAACAUGAAUAUGCCCCCAAAUGAAGAAUAAGAUUCUGGAAAAAAAGAUCCACCCAAAGUCUGCAUUUUUAAAGAAAAAAGCGUGCAUCAUCUUCCAGCCCCUGUGAGUCGAAGAAAAAGGUACAUGAGCAAAAAAGAGCCAUGCAAGAUAUCUGCUGCUGCCUACAGGUUAUCUAAAUGAACGCUUCCACAAAGUAUGACUGUCACUGUCCCCUAUGUCUAAAUCUUUUAAAUCAAAUAAGAUCUAAGUUACAUAAGUUAAUGAUCAGAUGUCACUAAGUAAUGCUAUAUUUUUUUAGAUUGACUUUUUGUCUUUGAGAGUAAAACAUAGAAGCAUUAUAUGCACCUCCAGAUGUUGCAGUGCUGGAGAGAGGAUAUUCAUUUAUUUAUCAAACAUAAUCUGUGAGAAUAUGUGUUUUAAGUUCUCAAAUGUAUAACAUUUUCUGAAUCCAUGUUUUUCAUAGCAUUCACUGUAAUAAUUAGCUAAGAAAUAUUUGAAAAGUAAUUUUUUUCACCUCUCAAUAAACAGAAGAUAUUCACAGAGUGUUUUCUUCAAGAUGGACUGACAAAAAUAAGAAUUUUUCAUGUUCUAAUCAUUUAGUUGUUGAUGAAUGGCAUAUUCAUGGAAAUUUCCUUACUGACAGUGGUAUCAGAUCUACAGAUCUUGAUCCAGGAACUCAUUCAAAUACUUCUACUAAUCUAGUUUUCCAAUGAGAAAUACCUUUACUGGUUAUAUUUAAACUUUGGGAAAAGAAGGUUACAAUCAAGGAAGGGAAUAACUAUCAUGUUAUCAUGUUUCUAAUUUAACAGAAAUAAUGUUUGGUUGUGUAGGGAGAACUGUACUAGAGAUGCUAGACUAGCUGCUAAAGGGUAUAUGGGAAAAUGAGGGAAAUCAUAGUUGUUGCUAUCACAAAUUGUCAGUUGUGCGGUGAAUAAACACUAGUUUCAUAUUCAUGUGCGAUGGACUAUGCAGCAGACACUGUCCCUGUGGUAACAAAUGCUAGAAAAAGGUUUUCCAUGUAAGUCCAUUGAAUCACAGUUUCUUGAUUCCAGUCUUCUAACAUAUAUAACAUGUGCCACAUCAUUGAGUGCAUCAUUCACUUCUUUCUUUCCAUCCUUCAGAUGUUCAGUACUAUGUACUGAAUGAUAGUUCUCCUGAUGGCCAGCCAUAAUGGGUUUAUAUUACAGUACAUAUUUUAUGUAUUAAAAUCUCUCCUGGAUUAAAAAUGACUAGAAAUUAAACACACAGGAGUAAUCCAGAUGGAAAAUGGAACACAUUUUUGUCAGUACUUUUGAAGAUAUUGAAGAGAAGUUGUGGAGAAAAAGCCUUUAUUUUCACUUCCAUCAUUUCUGCAUCCUAUGUAUAUCCUAUAUAUAUUGGAACCAACUAUCUACAGCUUCUUUGUAUGAGGUCAAUGCUAUUCCUGUAAACAUUAGAUGUUCUGUUGUUAUUUGCAAUUAAUCCAACAACAACUGCUGAAAUUAAGUCACAACUCUCCCGAGCUGAAACAAGUACCUUCCAUAAAGAUGAAAAGGAUUAGACCUAUAUUUUAUAACACAUCCACAUUUUAUGAGGAUGCAGUUGGUGUUAAGCAAUCAUCUAUUUGGUGUUGAAUUGAUUACAAUCUUAAUUAAAAGCUGCUUAAUAUAUAUGAGCCACUUGUAUUUAGCAAUUCUUAUUUUAUUGCAAAAAAAUUCCUGUCAAGAGCUGUAGUAGCAAUCACAUCAACUGACUUUGGACAUUUCUGUUUGUUUUGUUGGUUUUCUUUUGUUGUUGUUUAUUGAGAUUCAAGAGGGACUUUAUCAUGACCCAGAGUCAGAAUCAAACAUGGGAUUUCAGGAAGGUCGGUUGGCUGAGAAAUACCCAGUAAUCAUUUAUAAACCUAUUAGUGUAACAUGAAUGAAAAUGUGGAGUUUGUUCAGAUCUAAUGCAUACAUUUGUAUUAGCACUGAAUGAAUCUACUUUGAAUACAACCUGUCCACUGUAUACACAAGAUAUUCUGGGUUGUUAAAUUACCUCCCACGUUAAUAGUUUUAUAAUUAAAGUAAAUAUUAUUCAU
This is a long non-coding RNA of Gallus gallus (chicken), 2742 nucleotides long. NCBI's taxonomy places the organism in Eukaryota, Metazoa, Chordata, Aves, Galliformes, Phasianidae. The record is from Ensembl.